UACGGGGGGAGCAAGCGUUGUUCGGAUUUACUGGGCGUAAAGGGCGCGUAGGCGGUCAGCACAAGUCAGUUGUGAAAUCUCCGAGCUUAACUCGGAAAGGUCAACUGAUACUGUGCGACUAGAGUGCGGAAGGGGCAACUGGAAUUCUUGGUGUAGCGGUGAAAUGCGUAGAUAUCAAGAGGAACACCUGCGGCGAAGGCGGGUCUCUGGGCCGUAACUGACGCUGAGGAGCGAAAGCAUGGGGAGCGAACAGG
Molecule: ribosomal RNA, 254 nt
Filed under: uncultured bacterium
Lineage: Bacteria
Description: partial 16S ribosomal RNA
Rfam family: Bacterial small subunit ribosomal RNA
Source: RNAcentral